UUAAGCGACUAAGCGUACACGGUGGAUGCCCUGGCAGUCAGAGGCGAUGAAGGACGUGCUAAUCUGCGAUAAGCGUCGGUAAGGUGAUAUGAACCGUUAUAACCGGCGAUUUCCGAAUGGGGAAACCCAGUGUGAUUCGUCACACUAUCAUUAACUGAAUCCAUAGGUUAAUGAGGCGAACCGGGGGAACUGAAACAUCUAAGUACCCCGAGGAAAAGAAAUCAACCGAGAUUCCCCCAGUAGCGGCGAGCGAACGGGGAGGAGCCCAGAGCCUGAAUCAGUGUGUGUGUUAGUGGAAGCGUCUGGAAAGGCGCGCGAUACAGGGUGACAGCCCCGUACACAAAAAUGCACAUGCUGUGAGCUCGAUGAGUAGGGCGGGACACGUGGUAUCCUGUCUGAAUAUGGGGGGACCAUCCUCCAAGGCUAAAUACUCCUGACUGACCGAUAGUGAACCAGUACCGUGAGGGAAAGGCGAAAAGAACCCCGGCGAGGGGAGUGAAAAAGAACCUGAAACCGUGUACGUACAAGCAGUGGGAGCACAGAGCAAUCUGUGUGACUGCGUACCUUUUGUAUAAUGGGUCAGCGACUUAUAUUCUGUAGCAAGGUUAACCGAAUAGGGGAGCCGAAGGGAAACCGAGUCUUAACUGGGCGUUAAGUUGCAGGGUAUAGACCCGAAACCCGGUGAUCUAGCCAUGGGCAGGUUGAAGGUUGGGUAACACUAACUGGAGGACCGAACCGACUAAUGUUGAAAAAUUAGCGGAUGACUUGUGGCUGGGGGUGAAAGGCCAAUCAAACCGGGAGAUAGCUGGUUCUCCCCGAAAGCUAUUUAGGUAGCGCCUCGUGAAUUCAUCUCCGGGGGUAGAGCACUGUUUCGGCAAGGGGGUCAUCCCGACUUACCAACCCGAUGCAAACUGCGAAUACCGGAGAAUGUUAUCACGGGAGACACACGGCGGGUGCUAACGUCCGUCGUGAAGAGGGAAACAACCCAGACCGCCAGCUAAGGUCCCAAAGUCAUGGUUAAGUGGGAAACGAUGUGGGAAGGCCCAGACAGCCAGGAUGUUGGCUUAGAAGCAGCCAUCAUUUAAAGAAAGCGUAAUAGCUCACUGGUCGAGUCGGCCUGCGCGGAAGAUGUAACGGGGCUAAACCAUGCACCGAAGCUGCGGCAGCGACGCUUAUGCGUUGUUGGGUAGGGGAGCGUUCUGUAAGCCUGUGAAGGUGUGCUGUGAGGCAUGCUGGAGGUAUCAGAAGUGCGAAUGCUGACAUAAGUAACGAUAAAGCGGGUGAAAAGCCCGCUCGCCGGAAGACCAAGGGUUCCUGUCCAACGUUAAUCGGGGCAGGGUGAGUCGACCCCUAAGGCGAGGCCGAAAGGCGUAGUCGAUGGGAAACAGGUUAAUAUUCCUGUACUUGGUGUUACUGCGAAGGGGGGACGGAGAAGGCUAUGUUGGCCGGGCGACGGUUGUCCCGGUUUAAGCGUGUAGGCUGGUUUUCCAGGCAAAUCCGGAAAAUCAAGGCUGAGGCGUGAUGACGAGGCACUACGGUGCUGAAGCAACAAAUGCCCUGCUUCCAGGAAAAGCCUCUAAGCAUCAGGUAACAUCAAAUCGUACCCCAAACCGACACAGGUGGUCAGGUAGAGAAUACCAAGGCGCUUGAGAGAACUCGGGUGAAGGAACUAGGCAAAAUGGUGCCGUAACUUCGGGAGAAGGCACGCUGAUAUGUAGGUGAAGUCCCUCGCGGAUGGAGCUGAAAUCAGUCGAAGAUACCAGCUGGCUGCAACUGUUUAUUAAAAACACAGCACUGUGCAAACACGAAAGUGGACGUAUACGGUGUGACGCCUGCCCGGUGCCGGAAGGUUAAUUGAUGGGGUCAGCGCAAGCGAAGCUCUUGAUCGAAGCCCCGGUAAACGGCGGCCGUAACUAUAACGGUCCUAAGGUAGCGAAAUUCCUUGUCGGGUAAGUUCCGACCUGCACGAAUGGCGUAAUGAUGGCCAGGCUGUCUCCACCCGAGACUCAGUGAAAUUGAACUCGCUGUGAAGAUGCAGUGUACCCGCGGCAAGACGGAAAGACCCCGUGAACCUUUACUAUAGCUUGACACUGAACAUUGAGCCUUGAUGUGUAGGAUAGGUGGGAGGCUUUGAAGUGUGGACGCCAGUCUGCAUGGAGCCGACCUUGAAAUACCACCCUUUAAUGUUUGAUGUUCUAACGUUGACCCGUGAUCCGGGUUGCGGACAGUGUCUGGUGGGUAGUUUGACUGGGGCGGUCUCCUCCUAAAGAGUAACGGAGGAGCACGAAGGUUGGCUAAUCCUGGUCGGACAUCAGGAGGUUAGUGCAAUGGCAUAAGCCAGCUUGACUGCGAGCGUGACGGCGCGAGCAGGUGCGAAAGCAGGUCAUAGUGAUCCGGUGGUUCUGAAUGGAAGGGCCAUCGCUCAACGGAUAAAAGGUACUCCGGGGAUAACAGGCUGAUACCGCCCAAGAGUUCAUAUCGACGGCGGUGUUUGGCACCUCGAUGUCGGCUCAUCACAUCCUGGGGCUGAAGUAGGUCCCAAGGGUAUGGCUGUUCGCCAUUUAAAGUGGUACGCGAGCUGGGUUUAGAACGUCGUGAGACAGUUCGGUCCCUAUCUGCCGUGGGCGCUGGAGAACUGAGGGGGGCUGCUCCUAGUACGAGAGGACCGGAGUGGACGCAUCACUGGUGUUCGGGUUGUCAUGCCAAUGGCACUGCCCGGUAGCUAAAUGCGGAAGAGAUAAGUGCUGAAAGCAUCUAAGCACGAAACUUGCCCCGAGAUGAGUUCUCCCUGACUCCUUGAGAGUCCUGAAGGAACGUUGAAGACGACGACGUUGAUAGGCCGGGUGUGUAAGCGCAGCGAUGCGUUGAGCUAACCGGUACUAAUGAACCGUGAGGCUUAACCUU
Molecule: ribosomal RNA, 2904 nt
Filed under: Escherichia coli
Lineage: Bacteria; Pseudomonadati; Pseudomonadota; Gammaproteobacteria; Enterobacterales; Enterobacteriaceae
Description: bacterial LSU rRNA
Rfam family: Bacterial large subunit ribosomal RNA
Source: RNAcentral